RNAcentral lists this transfer RNA (2373 nucleotides) under Candidatus Wolfebacteria bacterium. RNAcentral's name for it is "bacterial LSU rRNA". It matches the Rfam family "Bacterial large subunit ribosomal RNA", at positions 1 to 1836 of the family's 2925-position model. The record is from RNAcentral. Lineage: Bacteria; Candidatus Wolfeibacteriota.
GAAAUCAAGAGCAUAUGGUGGAUGCCUAGACACAAAACGGCGAUGAAGGACGUAGCGUAGCUGCGAUAAGCUUCGGGGAGGUGCCAAGCAACCUUUGAUCCGGAGAUCUCCUAAUGGGGGAACCCAACCCGAUGAAUACGGGUUACUAUGUACUUGAUACAUAGAGCUUACCUGGGGAAGUGAAACAUCUCAGUACCCAGAGGAAUAGAAACUAAUAAGUAUUUCCUUAGUAGCGGCGAGCGAAAAGGAAGAAGCCCAAACCGAGCUUCAUUCUGACAAUACAAUUCGUUGUGUUGUUGGAGUGAUGCUCGGGGUUGUAAGACAGUGACGUGGUUUUUAAAUCAGAAGAGUCAAAAAAUAAAUGAUUAGGAGAAUGUGCUGGGAAGCACAACCCAAGAGGGUAAUAGUCCCGUAAACGAAAAUCAUUUAUCUCUUUUGUCAUUGAUAUCUUGAGUAGCUCAAGACACGAAUAGCUUGAGUGAAUUAGCCGGUACUAACCGGUAAGGCUAAAUACGUUUUGUGAUCGAUAGUGAACUAGUACCGUGAGGGAAAGGUGAAAAGUAGCCCGGAUAGGGCAGUGAAAUAGACCUGAAACCAUAUGCUUACAAGGAGUAGGAGCUCGCGCUUGCGUGAGUGACUGCGUUCCUAUUGAAGAAUGAGCCAACGAGUUAAUAUACGCAGCAAGGCUAAGGCCUGAUCGGCUGGAGUCAUAGGGAAACCGAGUGUGAAUAGCGCGUAUGUCAAUGCAUAGCAUUGGAAAUUCCAAACAACAAAACCCAAAUCACAAACAAAUUCAAAAUUCUAAUUUUCGAAUAUCAAAACACGUUUUGAGUAUUUGGAUUUUUGUCAUUGAGUAUUGUUUGUUAUUUGGUGCUUAGAAUUUGGUGCUUCCACUGCUGUGCAGCGGCAAGUUGUGUAUAUUAGACCCGAAGCCAGGUGAGCUUACCAUGAGCAGGGUGAACUUUGUCGAAAGACAAAGGGAGGCCCGAACCGAUACGUCGUUCAACUCGUUCGGAUGACUUGUGGUAUGGAGUGAAAAGCUAAUCGAACCUGGUAAUAGCUGGUUUUCUCCGAAAUAGCUUUAGGGUUAGCGUCAUGUGUUCCUCUGAGGGGUAGAGCACUGGAAGGUUUCGACAGGGAGCAAUCUCGCGAAACCUAUCAAACUCCGAAUACUCAGAAUUAAAACAUGGCAGUUAGACUGUGGGCGCGAAGGUCCAUCGGUCGAAAGGGAAACAGCCCAGAUCUCAAGUUAAGGUCCCCAAAUCCAUACUCAGUGCACUUAAGGAGGUGAGAUUUCUCUGACAAUGAGGAGGUUGGCUUAGAAGCAGCCAUCCUUUAAAGAUAGCGUAACAGCUCACUCAUUUAGAGAUUUUGCGCCGCAAAUUAUCGGGGCUUAAGUAUGGUACCGAAACUGAGGGCUUGUAGAUUUCAUUGAAGGUUUUUGUAGUAAUGUAGAGUCGUAGUUCAAUUGGACAGAACAUCGGAUUUAGUCCGAAGGUUGUGGGUUCAAGUCCUACCGACUCUGCCAUUACUUUGUUCUUUUUAUUGAGUGUCCUGUAGCUCAGCGGCGAGAUGAGUGCCACACGCUUAAUACAAAAUUUAUCCAACUGCUUGCUAGCGGGCGUUGGGAAAGGAUGUGUUGAGGCGCACUGUACUUGAGAGUACCGAGUUGUUAACUCGGAAGUCGCUGGUUCGAAUCCAGCCAGGACAACCAAUUUACACGGCAAGUCGAUUUACAAAAUCGACUUGCCCCUUCAAUGAAGUCUAUGAGCGGUAGGAGAAUAUUCGUGUCUGCGAUGAAGCAGUAUCUGCGAGGAGCUGUGGAGCGUCACGAAGCACAAAUGUUGGCACAAGUAACCGCAAUGCAAGUGAGAUUCUUGCACGCCGAAAGACUAAGGUUUCCUUGACGAUGAAGAUCAAUCAAGGGUUAGUCGGGCCUAAGGAGAUGGCGAAAGCCGCAUCCGAUGGACACAUGGUUAAUAUUCCAUGACUUCGUAUACAAGUGAUGAGAGGACGGAGGGUAGUAUGUAGAGUGCAUUAUUGGAUUUGCAUUCAAUGCUUGAGGGAGAUACGUAGGUAAAUCCGCGUAUCAUUAAUUCCAAGAGUAGUGAAGAUGCUUUGCUUCGGUGAAGUAAAUUCUACAAAGCACGCUUCCAAGAAAAUUCUCUAAACUUAUUGUAUAUGGAUCCGUACCGUAAACCGACACAGGUAGUCAGGUCGAGAAGACCAAGGCGAACGAGUGAUCGCUCCUCAAGGAACUCGGCAAAAAAGCAGCCGUACCUUUGGUAUAAGGCUUGCCUCUCGCAAGAGAGGCCGCAGCGAAAGAUCCCUGGCGACUGUUUAUCAAAAACACAGCUCCCUGCGAACUUGUAA